This 253-nucleotide ribosomal RNA is filed under the name uncultured bacterium. RNAcentral's name for it is "partial 16S ribosomal RNA". It matches the Rfam family "Bacterial small subunit ribosomal RNA", at positions 524 to 776 of the family's 1533-position model. The record is from RNAcentral.
UACAGAGGGUGCGAGCGUUGUCCGGAAUCACUGGGCGUAAAGGGCGCGUAGGCGGCUUGAUGAGGUUGCGGUGAAAGCCCGGGGCUCAACCCCGGGUCGGCCGUGGCAACUGUCGAGCUGGAGCACUGUAGAGGCAGGUGGAAUUCCGGGUGUAGCGGUGAAAUGCGCAGAUAUCAGGAGGAACACCAAUGGCGAAGGCAGCUCGCUGGGACGGUACUGACGCUGAGACGCGAAAGCGUGGGGAGCAAACAGG